Molecule: transfer RNA, 85 nt
Filed under: Candidatus Azambacteria bacterium RIFCSPLOWO2_02_FULL_42_10
Lineage: Bacteria; Candidatus Azamiibacteriota
Also listed under: 7 other names
Description: tRNA-Leu
Rfam family: tRNA
About the family: Transfer RNA (tRNA) molecules are approximately 80 nucleotides in length. Their secondary structure includes four short double-helical elements and three loops (D, anti-codon, and T loops). Further hydrogen bonds mediate the characteristic L-shaped molecular structure. tRNAs have two regions of fundamental functional importance: the anti-codon, which is responsible for specific mRNA codon recognition, and the 3' end, to which the tRNAs corresponding amino acid is attached (by aminoacyl-tRNA synthetases). tRNAs cope with the degeneracy of the genetic code in two manners: having more than one tRNA (with a specific anti-codon) for a particular amino acid; and 'wobble' base-pairing, i.e. permitting non-standard base-pairing at the 3rd anti-codon position.
Source: RNAcentral
GGGCGAGUGGCGGAAUGGCAGACGCGAAGGACUUAAAAUCCUUUGGAGGUAAUUCUCCGUGUGGGUUCGACUCCCUCCUCGCCCA